CGCCGCCGUCUGCCCCGCGUAGCGACACCGAGAGGGACGCGUCGGCCUCCUCCACUCCCCGUCCAGCUAACGGCCCUGAGGCAUCCUUGGAAAACUGAUUUUUGAAGGAUUUUUUUCCCCAAAGCAGGCAGUAGUCAAAAGUGACUUGACCUUGUGACUUCUUCUUUCAGCAACUCACCAAAGAAAAGUGAGUCCACAUAGUCCUGGAAGGUCUUCAGGGAGGCUCGGCAAAUAGUCAUGGAACGACUCUGCCAGCCAGGGUAGGAGACAGGUGCAAAGGACAACUACAGAUGCAGAGUGACUGGAACACAGCCUUGCUUUAUGAAGACUCUUCCAGAGAGAGGAAAGGAGGGCCGCACUCCUGGGAACGCUGAGAGGAAUUCAUGUGGAGGGAAGAGGGGACACAAACACUCUGCAGAGCCACACAGAUCAGAUGGACAGACCCUGGGAUCCACCGACUACAGAGCUCAUGGUCCCCUCGAAUGAAUGAAUGCCUGUUGCUCGAGGGAACCAUGGGCAUCUCAACAGCACCAGGAAAAGGAAAUGCUAAAUCUGGCUGAACACAAUGAUAUGAAAAUGGCGAGACUCACCUGGGGCUUGAGAGAAAGCUGCACAGCCCCCUCCAGGACCUGUUCAUUUUCAUGUGCCAUGGCAGUUCUUCGUAGACUCUCCAGAAAGUGCUUUGUUGCUGGAAAUAUCUGGUCAAGAUUUGGUGAAAAUACGUCCUCUUUUGAUUUGUUGGGUUCUGAAAUGGAUAUGGAUUGCAUUCUCUGAUGGGAGUGAGGACACCUGUAUAUCAUAAAAAUCAAUUACAGUAUAAUGCAUCGGACUUUUUAGUAUAUGAAAAUACUAUAGCAAAGAUACAACUGCUCUAUGCCCAUAAUUAAUGGAAGACAAGUCAAGGUAGCUGGGGAAAAUCUGUCUACACAUCACUGGCCUAGCAUGUGAAAAGUUUGUGGGAAGGUUGAUUUCUCAUCAUUGUGAGCUGUCCAGGACUAAGUUACCUGGUCUCUGAUUUUAAGUAGCUUUGUUACCUCAGCCCCACUCCCAAAGAAAUCUAUGUGUAACCUAUUUUUCUAUUUUCUUUUUUUUUUUCAGUAACCUGAAAUGCUCCAAAAUUCUAUUUUAAAUAUACACCGUGGUUACUGCUUAAAUAGGCACCUUCAAACAUUUGAGGCUGUACUGUUUGGAGAAGUUAAUCCAUCGCCUGGAUCUCAGACAGGCCAAGGGGUAACUGAGAAAACAAAUGCCAAGUUCUGUGUUGGAGCCAGGAGUACUGUAUCUUCAUUUCCAAAAAGAAACGGUUCCAGCUGAUCAUACUACCCAGACAGAAGCUUCCCGAAGACAGAAGGGUUUAUCUAAUUACUUAAAACCUGGUGAUACCUAUGCCUGAAAACUAAAAUAGAAGUAUUUUAAAAUUUUCUGCUUGUCACUUUUUCUACCAAGCCCUGCUCUUCAUAAGAACUGUAACCAAAGGGAAGCCCACUGUUUAAACGACCACUCUGCAUUUCCACGGAAACGAUUCCCAGGUUACCCACCCAUGUGGAGAGACCCUGGACUACCUGGUCUACCACGUGCAGAUACACCCAGACAGCAAGCAUAGUGCUUAAGAGACGCCUGGAAGGAAAAGAAACAGCCUCCUCCACUGUGUAUGGCAAAGGUAUGUCAGUAGGUAGUAAACUGAGAAAGGGAGGUGCAGAAUGGAGGAGAAAAAAGACAGAUACUACCCUGAGUCCAAGAUUUGGAAUGUUAAACACAAUACUAAAAGUGUAUACACUCUGGGAGGCCAAGGCAGACGGACUGCUUGAGCUCUUGAGUUCAAGACCAACCUGAGCAAGAGUGAAAUGCCAUCUCUAAUAAAAAUGAAAAACUGAGGCAAGAACAUCACUUGAGCUCAAGAGUUUGAGGUUGCUGUGAGCUAUGACAAAAAAUAAAAAUAAAAUAAAAUAAAAGUUGAUGAAACAUUUUUAUAGGCCAGGUGCAGUGGCUUAUGCCUGUAAUCUUAGCACUGUGGGAGGCUGAGGCAAGAGGAUUGCUUAAGGAGUUUGAGACCAAUCUAAGCAGGAGUUUGAGACCAAUCUAAGCAAGAGCAAGACCUCGUUUCUACUGAAAAUAGGAAAACUUGCUGGGCAUGGUGGUGCACACCUGUAAUCCCAGCUACUUGGGAGGCUGAGAGGCAAGAGGAGGCUUGAGCCCAGGAGUUCAAGUUUUCAGUGAACUAUAAUGCUGCCACUAUACUCUAGCCAAGGUGACAGAGUGAGACUCUGUCUCAAAAAAAAAAAAUCAUAGAGAACAUUACAUUUAAUUUCGUCUUUUUAUGAAACAACUUCAUGAGGAGGAUAUGAGGAUGAAUCCCCAGGUGACCAACAAAACUACUUAAAAUCAGAGAAACCAGGUGACUUAUCCUCAGUCAGCCCAUGACCACAAAUUGGAGAAGCAGCAUGCAAACUUUCUUGACUAACACUAGCUCCUCCAACUCCACGUGGCAAGUGAGAACUGCUUUGACCCCCAUGCAGCACAGGUCUCAAUGACAGACCUAAUGGCUGAUGCUUCUGAGGUGCUGUCGUGACACAUGGUGGGCUAAACAACCCCCACAUCCCAGUGCCCUAAAAGAGCAAAGGUUUAUUACGUCCACCACAGGACUGGAGACUGGGACUCCAAUCCAAGUUUCCUGACUACAGGACUCACAGAGCAGCUGCCAACAUGAACGCUGCCAGUGGACGCUUAGUCACGAGGCCCCACCUGAGAAGGGGGCCAGGAGGUGUUUCCUGCAGUGAAGGAGGGGCUGGAAAUACUGGCAUUUGGCCUAAAGGAUCACCACAAGUACCUAUCGUCAUGCCCAAAGCUGUACCGUAUGGGAAGCCAGCUGCUAUGCUGUGAGCACACUCGAGCAGCCAUACGGAGAGGUCAAUGUGGUGAGAACUGAGGCCUCUAGCCAACAGCAGAUGUGAGUGAACCAUCAUGGAAAACAGGUCCUCCAGCCCCAGGCAAGCCCCUGGAUGACUUCAGCCUUGGCCAGCAUCUUGACUGCAAGUUCAUGAGAGAGACUCUCAGCCAGAACUACCCAGCUAAGUGCUUCUAGAUUCCUAACCUACUGAUAAUAUGUGACCUAAUAAAUGUUUAUUGUUUUAAAUUGCUGCAUUUGGGUGUAAUUUGCUACACAGCAAUAGAUAGUACAAGGGGUCUGGGACUUGACCCAAGUUCUUCAUUUGUUUCAUAUUCCUCAAUAUUUUAUAGUUUUCUCCAUGCAAGAUCUAUGUCUUUCUUAAGUUUAUUCCUAAGUAUUUGUCUCUAAUAUGCAUAAAAUUUAAAAAAUUCCAUUUGUAUAUGUUUUCUGCACAUUCAGAGCAAGACUAUUGAUUUUUUUAUAUAUUUAUCAUAUGGCCAAUAAUUUAUCAGAUUCUCAUAUUCAUUCUAUACUUUCUUUUUUAACUAAAGUCUCUUGAGUUUCUGGGGUAUGCAAAAGUUAACCAAGCUGGUCAACAUACAAAGGUGGUCAACAUUAAGGAACUAGGUGUAUUGUACUGAUACAUACAUGUAUCAGUAUGUGACUGGAUAUAGUCCAGUCUGUGAAAAUUUGGUCUACUUAGGGGGGUGGUCGCCUAUGGAGGUUCUACUGUAUGCAUUGAUUCUGUAUGAAUAGAGAUCCUCUCUAUAUUGCUCACUCCUAUAUUGCCAGCACCUAGCAUAACACCUGGCAUAUAACGGGUCCUCAACAUUUGCUAAAUUAAUAAGUAAAUGAAGGAAUAAACAAACAAAGCAACCAAGCAACCAAUUCACCUUAGUCCUUGGCCCCAAUCCUUAAUGCUCCUUGAUGCAAAUUGCUUUCCUGCCUCAGUCUCCCCAGCCUGCAUUCUCCUGACUCCCUGCUGUUGGAAUACACCUGCCUACCAGGAGAGCUAUUUUUUGCCUCUAACUGCAUCUCUUUGCCUAUCUGGCAAAGUUUAACCUAUCUUCCUAUCUUCUUGCCUGUCUUCCAAGUCUAACCACAAGGUAUAAUGCUAUCAAGUGGGUCCCAGAAGUUUGAAUUUGGUCCCAAACACCAAAGUAUCUGUUUCCAGUACUGUCCAUGGAACUACAGCAACAAAGAGAAAAACUAAAAUUAGGAAGCAAGGGAAUCAGACACAAAGGUAUGUAGCUUAAUAAUCAUCUGGAGUGUUAACUAUGAAGGAACAGGCCAAAUGGGGACUGGGGGUGACUAAUGAGUUACAAGUUAGAAAAGGUGAAAAGGCCGCAGGGUAGAGACAACAAAGCUGGGAACUGAGUAAGCUGCCCGUUCCCCUGCAGGGUACUCAACCAGAGAUGCCAUCUUAAAGGGGCAGAGCUGAGUCAGACCAAUGGCCAGCCAUUUUAUGCCAGCUGGUGCUCUGCCUGCCCCAAGAAUUCCCACAGUCACCUGCAGAAACAUCUACUCACAAGUAGUGACUAUUUUGGAGGGUUCGUCUCAGUCUCAGUUUCCUCCAGGUGCAGCGUACCCUGCUCACUAGUGACCAGUUAAGAUGACCUUUGCAGGCAGGGAGCGUUGGCUCACAUCUGUAAUCCCAGCACUCUGGGAGGCCCAGGCGGGUGGA
This is a long non-coding RNA of Nycticebus coucang (slow loris), 4571 nucleotides long. RefSeq lists it as uncharacterized. The record is from RefSeq and is a predicted model, not a curated record. Lineage: Eukaryota; Metazoa; Chordata; Mammalia; Primates; Lorisidae. The transcript has 4 exons.